GGCAGCUAUGACCCAAACCAGUGAGGGGUUACCAGCUUUACCUUCCAGAAGAAAACAGGCCUUGAUCUGCACCAAAAGGCACUCUGAAAUGUAUUCUGGGUUUUUCUGGAUGUACUGGUCAGUGCAGACAAAUACAGAAGUGCUGAGGAGAGCUGACAUGCCGGGGUUUCUCUGUUGGUCUGGAAUACUCCUCACAAGUCUCUUCACUGACAAAAUGACUGCUGUGACUUGUUUGGGCCACCUAAAGCGAAAUCAGACAUUUGUGACAAAGCAACCGUCAAAUACAAAGGGUUAUGUGAAGAAACAUGCUUUGCAUAUCCGUAUUUCAAGUUAAAUAUUAACACCUGUAUUUUUUUCCAUUAUCUGG
This is a long non-coding RNA of Cyprinus carpio carpio, 367 nucleotides long. The record is from Ensembl. Lineage: Eukaryota; Metazoa; Chordata; Actinopteri; Cypriniformes; Cyprinidae.